RNAcentral lists this ribosomal RNA (521 nucleotides) under uncultured bacterium. RNAcentral describes it as "bacterial SSU rRNA". It matches the Rfam family "Bacterial small subunit ribosomal RNA", at positions 8 to 518 of the family's 1533-position model. The record is from RNAcentral.
AGAGUUUGAUCAUGGCUCAGGAUGAACGCUAGCUACAGGCUUAACACAUGCAAGUCGAGGGGAAACGAUAUUGAAAGCUUGCUUCUUAGGCGUCGACCGGCGAAUGGGUGAGUAACGCGUAUCCAACCUGCCCCUGAGUAAGGGAUAGCCCAUCGAAAGAUGGAUUAAUACCUUAUGGUUUCCUUUGAAGGCAUCCGAUUAGGAUAAAGAUUUAUCGCUGAGGGAUGGGGAUGCGUCUGAUUAGCUUGUUGGCGGGGUAACGGCCCACCAAGGCGACGAUCAGUAGGGGUUCUGAGAGGAAGGUCCCCCACAUUGGUACUGAGACACGGACCAAACUCCUACGGGAGGCAGCAGUGAGGAAUAUUGGUCAAUGGGCGCAAGCCUGAACCAGCCAAGUAAGCGUGCAGGACGACUGCCCUAUGGGUUGUAAACUGCUUUUAUACGGGGAUAAAGUCAGGGUCGUGACCCUGUUUGCAGGUACCGUAUGAAUAAGGACCGGCUAAUUCCGUGCCAGCCGCGGC